RNAcentral lists this ribosomal RNA (1385 nucleotides) under uncultured bacterium. Its description in RNAcentral is "bacterial SSU rRNA". It matches the Rfam family "Bacterial small subunit ribosomal RNA", at positions 28 to 1381 of the family's 1533-position model. The record is from RNAcentral.
GACGAACUUUGGCGGCGUGCCUAAUACAUGCAAGUCGAGCGAGCGGAACUAACAGAUUUACUUCGGUAAUGACGUUAGGAAAGCGAGCGGCGGAUGGGUGAGUAACACGUGGGGAACCUGCCCCAUAGUCUGGGAUACCACUUGGAAACAGGUGCUAAUACCGGAUAAGAAAGCAGAUCGCAUGAUCAGCUUUUAAAAGGCGGCGUAAGCUGUCGCUAUGGGAUGGCCCCGCGGUGCAUUAGCUAGUUGGUAAGGUAAAGGCUUACCAAGGCGAUGAUGCAUAGCCGAGUUGAGAGACUGAUCGGCCACAUUGGGACUGAGACACGGCCCAAACUCCUACGGGAGGCAGCAGUAGGGAAUCUUCCACAAUGGACGCAAGUCUGAUGGAGCAACGCCGCGUGAGUGAAGAAGGUUUUCGGAUCGUAAAGCUCUGUUGUUGGUGAAGAAGGAUAGAGGUAGUAACUGGCCUUUAUUUGACGGUAAUCAACCAGAAAGUCACGGCUAACUACGUGCCAGCAGCCGCGGUAAUACGUAGGUGGCAAGCGUUGUCCGGAUUUAUUGGGCGUAAAGCGAGCGCAGGCGGAAGAAUAAGUCUGAUGUGAAAGCCCUCGGCUUAACCGAGGAACUGCAUCGGAAACUGUUUUUCUUGAGUGCAGAAGAGGAGAGUGGAACUCCAUGUGUAGCGGUGGAAUGCGUAGAUAUAUGGAAGAACACCAGUGGCGAAGGCGGCUCUCUGGUCUGCAACUGACGCUGAGGCUCGAAAGCAUGGGUAGCGAACAGGAUUAGAUACCCUGGUAGUCCAUGCCGUAAACGAUGAGUGCUAAGUGUUGGGAGGUUUCCGCCUCUCAGUGCUGCAGCUAACGCAUUAAGCACUCCGCCUGGGGAGUACGACCGCAAGGUUGAAACUCAAGGGAGUUGACGGGGGCCCGCACAAGCGGUGGAGCAUGUGGUUUAAUUCGAAGCAACGCGAAGAACCUUACCAGGUCUUGACAUCUGGUGCCAUUUGUAGAGAUACAAAGUUCCCUUCGGGGACGCUAAGACAGGUGGUGCAUGGCUGUCGUCAGCUCGUGUCGUGAGAUGUUGGGUUAAGUCCCGCAACGAGCGCGACCCUUGUUAUUAGUUGCCAGCAUUAAGUUGGGCACUCUAAUGAGACUGCCGGUGACAAACCGGAGGAAGGUGGGGAUGACGUCAAGUCAUCAUGCCCCUUAUGACCUGGGCUACACACGUGCUACAAUGGGCAGUACAACGAGAAGCGAGCCUGCGAAGGCAAGCGAAUCUCUGAAAGCUGUUCUCAGUUCGGACUGCAGUCUGCAACUCGACUGCACGAAGCUGGAAUCGCUAGUAAUCGCGGAUCAGCACGCCGCGGUGAAUACGUUCCCGGGCCU